RNAcentral lists this long non-coding RNA (1128 nucleotides) under Canis lupus familiaris (dog). Its description in RNAcentral is "lncRNA (ENSCAFG00040009484.1)". The record is from RNAcentral. Lineage: Eukaryota; Metazoa; Chordata; Mammalia; Carnivora; Canidae.
AUGGCACACGUGGAAGUCUGCGGAGCCAGGGACCACCUGCAGGGCCCCGGAAGCCAGGAAGCGCCCCCGCCCCCCGCCGGCAGGUGCAGUUGGCCGGGAGCCCGCAGGCCGGGUGACGUCACCCCUUGGCGCUCCAGGAGGGAAGGGGUGUGGCGGGUGCAGGGGGGCGGCUCCGAGCUCCAGCGUGCCGCCCGCCCGCCCCGCCCCGCCCCUCCGGGAGGGCCCCGGGCCGCUGGAAGCCGGGGCUGCUGCAGAGCUGGGGGGAGGGGGAGAGGGUCCCUCAGCGUCACCCCUGCGCGGGAUGCACCUCCCCCAGGCGCCGCCCCCGCCUCCCCCCCAUCCACGUUCACUUCCCAGCCGUUGGGCCAGCGGGGAGGAGCCCAGGUUCUUGGCGCCCGGCCCUGCCCCUUCUCCCCCACCCUGAGAGCCAGGUGUCCCCGGGGUCAGGCCUCCGAGCUAAGGGACCCGGCCUGCAGGAGGGCCCUUCACCUCCGCGCUUCCCCCAGGGCGGCCGCUCCGGGCCCUGGCCUCCUCCCCGGGCUGUCCCGGCCCCCCUCUUCCGGGGCUGCCCCAGCCCCAGCCAGGCACGGCCCUGGAGCGCCGGGGCUCCCCCUGGGCCAGGCACUAGCCUCUGCGCCCGUGUCAGACGUCAAGGUGCGGUGGGGGGCUGCGGCGCACCUAGGGCACCCAUCCCACCCUCAGCCCUGGCCUGGUCCCCACACCUGGGGGCUCCGGGCCAGAAGCAGAGGGAAGCCCCAGGGGGAAGCGGGCAGCCAGGCCCCCCUGUGCCCCCACACCCAGGGCAAUGCCCGGCCCAGUGCCAGGGAGCCUCGGCCCGUGUGUCCCGGGACAGACGGGAGUGAGAGCGGGGCUGAAGAAGGAAGAAGGGCAGGAGCAGCAGUGGAAUUUCUGCUCAGAUUCCUUGAGCCCUGGGCUAGGGGCCAUCGGGACCAGCUCACGCCAGGAAUGCGCUGCCCCGACCCUUGCCAGCUCUCGGGCUCCCCUCGCCAAGCUGUUGCCCUAAUAGCCCACGGAUCAUGCACGUUGGGCUUUCAGGCUGCUUUCUUCCGCAUCAGGUUGGAAGCCCAUCACGUGGCCAUCGUGGAGAUAAAGCAGAUGGGAUUUUAA